This 951-nucleotide long non-coding RNA is filed under the name Prunus persica (peach). RNAcentral's name for it is "long non-coding RNA (PPER_LNC007855)". The record is from RNAcentral. Lineage: Eukaryota; Viridiplantae; Streptophyta; Magnoliopsida; Rosales; Rosaceae.
CCGGAACCGUUGCUGAGGGAUGGUCAUUUGAUGACCCGAAUGAUAGAUCGAUAUACAGAGAUCCAAUCUUCGUAUAUUCAUGAAAUGAGUCAAGUUCACUUGAUGGAGCAUCUAUGGGUGGUGAAAGGCAAUGAAGAAGAAUGAUGGAGCAUAGAUGCUUUGGUUAUGUCUUAUUGAGUUAUGGUUUGGUUGUGUUAUAUUUUUAUUUAUUAUGCUUUGGUUGUGGUUUGUUAUUAUUAUUGUGCCUUGUUUGUAGUUUUUUUUUUUUUUUUUUUUGUUUUGUUUGAAGUAUGGAAUAUGUUGAAUAAAAAGGUAAUUUAUUGAAAGCUUUGUUUAUUAAAUAACGAAAUCUAAUACAAGUCAUUACGAAUUACUACUACUAAAAUAAAAUACAUGAAUUACAACAACUUUAAUAGAAAACAUGAAAAAUACAAAUACAUAAAAGGUAGGCUAACUAAUUUAAUGGUUUCCAUCAUUUAACCAAUCCGUGUUGCUAGGCCCAUCAUCCCGGAAAAGUCUUCUUCUCAUAACAUCCCUUCGUUCUAGCUUCCAAAAUUAUUUUGUUUCAGGGGACAUAUGACUUGUAUCCAUGGCCAUGGUUUCCCGAUCCGUCUUGUCCAUAUCUUUUUUGCGCAAAUACUCCCUUUCUCGUGCAUACUCAGCUUGAAGGGUCAAUUCGUUAUCUUGGCGUUUCUGCUCCAUUUCAAUUCUUAGGCCGUUUUGCCUUGUAAUUUCCUCCAAAAACUUUGAAUUAUUAUUGCUUGAAUUACCCACUUUCUUUGCCUUCGCGGCCUUUCAGCCAAUGGGCCUCGGCUCCUUUUCCAUGGAUGAGUCUUGACUCAUAGGAGAAUCAAGAGGUGAAUCCGAUGUCAUUGAAUCACGGAGUGGCGUCUCGUUUAACACAACGGCGGGACCCAUCGGAAUAAUUAUGAAGCGUUUGCAAUAUUUCAC